UGAAGAUCCCAAGAGUAGUUGCCAACUGAAACAUCAUGUUCAGGCCUCCUCGAAGAUGAGUUGGUGCCAUCUCUGAUAAGUAGAGUGGAACUGCCUUCAAUAACAAAUAAGCAUUAACGCAUUAGGAGGAAUUGAGACAAGCAAAUGAAGGUGUUGAAGCACGUCCGAGGCAGUCCAUUCUCUUCAUUAUCAAGUGCAGGAAGUAUACCUGAUUCCCAAAGCCAAUGCCUACACCAAGCAUUAUUCUUCCUAGGAUGAGCAUUUCAAUAUUGACGGCGGCUGCAUUUAAAGUUGCCCCAACAAGAAAGCUAAUUCCACCGCAGACUAUACUUGCACGGCGCCCAUAGUUCCUGGUGAUGGGGGAGGCCACCAAUGAGGAAACUAGUCCAGCAAGAUAUAGGGAUGAGGUUUGUUGAACUUUUGUGAUGUGUAUACGUCUGGAAAAAAGUCGCGUUCUUGGAAAAGGAUCCCUUGUCUUUCUGAGUUGGCAUAUGGCCUCAGCAAUUUGUAAGUUAAUAUAAUUGUGAGAUAAGCUCCACUUGGAGAUAUUGAUAAUUUCAAGGUCUUUGUUGCAUGUGUUCGUUUUUCUCUCUUUUGAUUCUGAAUUCUUUAUCAAAACUAGUCCAGACUUGCUUUCUGUUUAGAUGUCAUGUCAUGCUAUGCUUAACUUUUGCUGUACGUUUUUCUAGUAAACAAUAUCAGUAUUCUGAAUUUCUAAUCUUUAGUUACCACCAUAUAUUUUAACUGAA
This is a long non-coding RNA of Cucumis sativus (cucumber), 749 nucleotides long. RefSeq lists it as uncharacterized. The transcript is spliced from 3 exons. The record is from RefSeq and is a predicted model, not a curated record. NCBI's taxonomy places the organism in Eukaryota, Viridiplantae, Streptophyta, Magnoliopsida, Cucurbitales, Cucurbitaceae.